CUGAACUAAUUUGAAGAUUCAGCGAUUUUUCCGUUCCCAAGAAAAGCUUUACUUUACAGUCACCAGUUGGCAGCCAUUUUAAUUCUUUCUGCCAACAGUUUCGUAUCUCUGUUUACUUCAACGAUACUUGACUUAGUUGAUACGCAAAAACGAUUUAAAAUUUAUACAUUCUGCGCAACUUUGGAACGUUAAAAUUGAAUUAUAAUUAAAAUGGCAACAUUUUAAAACUUCUGUGAUGGGUUUUAAGGUUAGCUCUGUGAAUAAUCGCUUUCUUAAAAAGCCAUCUGGUGUCCAUAUUCUGAAGGUACGAUUUACGAACGAAGUGCAAAAGCGACUAUUUUUCCCGAAUCCAUGGCCGUCAAAGUCAAGAAGGCUGUCCCGUUCGACCAAAGUGCUAGUCGAAGCUAACUGACCUACUAAAGAAAGCCACAUAAAUGGCGUUAUACACGACUGUAUCGCAAUAUCAGCUGCCGAAACUCCAACGAGAAUAUUAUCCAUCUCUUUGCUGUGUAUCACAUGGUAGUGGUAGUAGUAUACGCACGUACAUAUCCUCUCCGAAAGGAAGCCCGAGCUCAUCUUCAUUUAUCUCUUUGUUGCCCUUUCAUUGCAGAUCCUUUUUUUUCCUUAAAAAAAGGGAAAAAAAAAGAAGUGGUAAUUCAAUACACGUCGUAGAGAUACAUCAGCUGCAUCACCCUAGUCCCAAUCAGCAAAAAUAACAAGAAUAAUUUAUCGAACCCAACAUUUCAUUUAUCUGCGUAACACGCCCCGUUUUCUUCUUAUUUUCGAUUCGUCGAUUAACAUCCGAAUAAUAACAACUAGAAAAACCCGUUAGUUGUUUUCUUGUUCGGGGAAAAAAAAUGAAUUAAAACAAAAAAUGUAUUACAAUGUCACCAUCUCGCCUACCA
Long non-coding RNA from Daphnia magna, 905 nucleotides. RefSeq lists it as uncharacterized. The transcript has 2 exons. NCBI's taxonomy places the organism in Eukaryota, Metazoa, Arthropoda, Branchiopoda, Diplostraca, Daphniidae. The record is from RefSeq and is a predicted model, not a curated record.